Molecule: ribosomal RNA, 474 nt
Filed under: uncultured bacterium
Lineage: Bacteria
Description: bacterial SSU rRNA
Rfam family: Bacterial small subunit ribosomal RNA
Source: RNAcentral
AAUGAACGCUGGCGGCGCGCCUAAUACAUGCAAGUCGAGCGAGAAGACGUAGCAAUACGUUUGUAAAGCGGCGAACGGGUGAGGAAUACAUGGGUAACCUACCCUCGAGUGGGGAAUAACUAGCCGAAAGGUUAGCUAAUACCGCGUACGCUUCUUGGACUUCGGUUCAGGGAGGAAAGCGAUGCCGAGGGUAUCGCGCUCUUGGAUGGGCUCAUGUCCUAUCAGCUUGUUGGGAGGUAACGGCUCACCAAGGCUUCGACGGGUAGCUGGUCUGAGAGGACGAUCAGCCACACUGGCACUGCGACACGGGCCAGACUCCUACGGGAGGCAGCAGUAAGGAAUAUUGCGCAAUGGGCGAAAGCCUGACGCAGCGACGCCGCGUGGGGGAUGAAGGUCUUCGGAUUGUAAACCCCUUUCGGGAGGGAAGAUGGAAUGGGGUAACCCGAUUCGGACGGUACCUCCAGAAGCAGCCAC